Molecule: ribosomal RNA, 279 nt
Filed under: uncultured bacterium
Lineage: Bacteria
Description: partial 16S ribosomal RNA
Rfam family: Bacterial small subunit ribosomal RNA
Source: RNAcentral
UGCCAGCCGCCGCGGUAAUACGGAGGGUGCGAGCGUUAAUCGGAAUUACUGGGCGUAAAGGGUCCGUAGGUGGCCGGAUAAGUCUGAUGUGAAAGCCCGGGGCUCAACCCCGGAAGUGCAUUGGAAACUGGCGAACUUGAGUACGGGAGAGGAAAGUGGAAUUCCGAGUGUAGGGGUGAAAUCCGUAGAUAUUCGGAGGAACACCAGUGGCGAAGGCGGCUUUCUGGACCGAUACUGACGCUGAGACGCGAAAGCGUGGGGAGCAAACAGGAUUAGAUA